Molecule: RNA transcript, 13657 nt
Organism: Ahaetulla prasina
Lineage: Eukaryota; Metazoa; Chordata; Lepidosauria; Squamata; Colubridae
Gene: FBXL17
Gene name: F-box and leucine rich repeat protein 17
Exons: 10
Source: RefSeq, a predicted model, not a curated record
CAUGGAGUCCCUGGUUUGUUGUGGUUAUAUUUAGAACGCUAAUUUGGGGCGGAUCAGGGAGGCGGAAGUCUUGGCCAUUUCCUUCCACGUCCCGGAAGCUGAGGCGUUGUGUUUGCCGGCCCCGGCGAGAGUAAAGGAACGGGCGCUGGGAGCCAUGUCGUGAGACUCGCUGAGCUGCGCUGAACGCCGCUCAGAAAAGGCCCUGCCGAGCAGGGGUGGCGGUGGCUCGGCUUCCUAUAUGGGCCAUAUUAUUUCGAGGAAAGGCACUAGUCAGAAGGCGGAGAAAAAUCACCUCCGCGCCCCCCUGAGGGGGAAGGUCCCUCCGCCGCCACGGACCCGGACCUGCUUCCUCCGGGGGCCCUGCAUGCUGUGUUUCCUGGUCCACAGCGCCAGCCCACCCGCCGCGAAGGAGCAGCAGUCGCCCGCCUUCCUCUGCACGGCUGCGAAGCCCCCCGGCGACCGCCACGCUCGACGCCUCCUGCGCUGGCCUCCCGCGUCGGUUUGGAGAGAGCGAGGUCGCCGCUGCCGCCGUUUCCUCUUCUCCAGCCUGCUCAUUUCGACGCCGCCGCCGCCGCCGCCAGCGCGCCGGGGCUUCUUCGGGUCUGCGCUGGAGAGCAGCGAGGCUCCCGUGGAGAUGGUCUGCAAGCGCAAAGGGAUCGGGCUGCGCGCCUAUCCGCCGCGGAAACAGCCCCGGUGCGCUAUCCUCCGGGGAAAUGCGGCGGGUACCGGCGCCCCUUCGCCGCCCUCGACCGAUCCCGCCGAAUGCCAACAGGUGCUCUUGCCCGAGCAGCACCUCUGCCCUCUGCCCCGCGCCGUAGACGUUGCCAGGGAAGCUUCGCCUAAAGACUCCGUCGCCGAGGAUGGGAAGGAGAUAAUCCCGAGCAGCUCUCCUUCGCACCUGCCGGAGCUCGAUGGGAGAGAGAAGCCCGAGUCGGGCGAACCUUACUGUGAAGAACCCCCCGAAAACCCGGAGGACUGUUGCCAAGACUCGCAGCCACCCUUGCUGGAUAUUAACCAGCUGCCUCCCUCCAUCCUUCUCAAGGUGGGUUUGGUGGGCAUGGACUGUGUCAAGGGUGGUGCUGUCACAUAUGAUACGCAGACUUCCAAGAUAUUUUCCAAUUUAUCCUUGAAUGAGCGAUGUCUUUCAGCAUCAUUGGUUUGUAAAUACUGGCGUGACCUCUGUUUAGAUUUCCAGUUUUGGAAACAAUUGGACCUCAGUAGUCGUCAGCAGGUCACUGAUGAAUUACUGGAAAGAAUUGCAUCACGAAGCCAGAAUAUAACUGAAAUCAACAUUUCUGAUUGUCGUAAUGUGACAGACACUGGUGUAUGUAUGCUAGCAUCUAAGUGUCAUGGACUUCUAAAAUAUACUGCCUAUAGGUGUAAACAGCUGUCUGAUACAUCACUGUCUGCUGUUGCCUCACAAUGUCCUCAGCUUCAGAAAGUUCAUGUUGGCAACCAAGAUCGUCUUACUGAUGAAGGACUUAAGCAGUUGGGCUCAGAAUGCAAAGAAUUGAAAGACAUUCACUUUGGGCAAUGUUACAAGAUCUCAGAUGAAGGAAUGACUAUUAUAGCUAAAGGUUGCCUGAAGUUACGGAGAAUAUACAUGCAGGAAAACAAAUUAGUAACUGAUCAGUCUGUUAAAGCAUUUGCUGAACAUUGUCCUGAGUUGCAGUAUGUUGGAUUUAUGGGCUGUUCUGUUACAUCUAAAGGGGUGAUACAUCUUACCAAUCUAAGAAACCUUUCCAGCUUGGAUUUACGUCAUAUCACAGAACUGGAUAAUGAAACUGUGAUGGAGAUAGUAAAAAAAUGCAGAAACCUUGCCUCUCUCAAUCUGUGUCUGAAUUGGAUCAUAAAUGACAGAUGUGUGGAGGUCAUUGCUAAAGAAGGACAGAAUUUGAAAGAACUUUAUUUGGUAUCAUGUAAGAUCACAGAUUAUGCCCUGAUAGCCAUUGGAAGAUACAGUAUGACAAUAGAGACAGUUGAUGUGGGAUGGUGCAAAGAAAUCACAGAUCAGGGAGCCACCCAGAUUGCUCAGACUAGUAAAUCACUCCGAUACUUGGGACUGAUGAGAUGUGAUAAGGUAAGUGAAGUUACUGUGGAGCAACUGGUACAGCAACACCCACAUAUCACCUUCAGUACAGUGCUACAAGAUUGCAAGCGGACCUUGGAACGGGCAUACCAGAUGGGUUGGAUACCCAGUAUGUCCAGUGCCUCUUAACUCAUGCUAUGGCAUUAAAAAAAGAGAUUUAAACUGAACAAUUGAAAAUGGUUAAGGAUUUUUAAUUCAUAUUUUUUGGUUUUUAUUAAAUAUAUGUUUGGUGUAUGCAUAUGCAAGAGAGAGAGCAUGAGUGUAUGGCAAAUGUCUAUUCAGUCUUCUAAUGGAAAUAUCAGAAGAAAAAUAUAGUCAGAUAUAUUUAAUUUUUCUGAAAUGUUUAUUUGUCAAUUUAAAAUCUGCAAAUCAAUAAGAUUUUGCAGAGAGCUUGCCCUUUUUUUGUAAAUUGAAUGUUUACAUAAACUAGACUACUGUUUGGAUGUUUUUUCAAGGUAUAUGUUCAUGAUAGAAACAAUUCUUCAGAGAUGCAUUAUAAGAUUUUUUUGUCUGUUGUUUAAGAGCUUUAGGUUUUAACUUCUCAAAUGGGUUUCUUCUAGUUCUAAAGUUAGUUUCAACAGUGUAAUAUGUUGUUAUGUCUUUUUAUUUCAUGCUAUUUCUUUAUUAUUAAUAGCUCAUAGUUAUUUUUAAAUUGUAAGUUGCAACUCCUUUUUCUUAAAUUCGAAGUAAUAGAUAAUCUUAGAUUAUCAAAAUAUUGCUAACCUCUUGUGCAUUUUUGAAAUGCACAUUUAUGAAAGCUACAAAGGUACAAAAAUAUAACAUUUUUAUGAUAAAUUUUAUUUUGAGUGGAAUCUUUAAUAAAUGCUGGACAUAAGCAUAAUGGCAAUUUAAGCAGACUAUCUGACUGGUCUCUAUUGGUUCUACUAAAAUGAUAUUUUUCAGUUGCUUGUAAAUGUAUGUAUUUUAAGUGGAUAUUCCUUGAUUACAUUUCUACAUCUUUCACACUUUCUAGUUUUGUACAUCUUCAUUUUAAUUUUCAGCACUUUUUAUUAUUUAGAUCUGUGAAAAGUAGUGUAUCUAAGGAUUCAGGAUUUCUCAGCGUGUAAAGAAACCUCAGACUUGCAUUUCCUGUAUGCUUCUGCAGCAUCUCAGGGGAGAAGGAAAGAAACAUCUGCCUCCACUUAUAACUUCCUGUUAUAUCUAAAUCUGCAGGAUUUGUAGUUAAUUGAAAGUACGGUUAAGUCAAACAAGAUAAUUGUUGAGAAGAUAGUUUGGCUGCAGUUGCAAAAGAUCUUGGAAGAAAUGAAUUAUCUGGAUUCUUUUCAAUUGGGUUUCAAACCUGGACACAAUACAGAGAUGAUUAUGGUGAAGCUGAGAUUGGGUCAAGCAGAGCCUGGCUCUUUAAUCUUUCAAGAGUGUUUGAUACCAUCAACAUUUUUCUGGACCAGCUGUGAGGAGUCAGAAUAGGAAAUAUGGUGUAAUGAUAGCUGCCCUAUUUCUUCUAUGACUAAUUCCAGUCAGUGUUGGUAGGAGUAAAGAGGAUAAACCUAAAGCACCUCAUCUACAGGAUGCCUCAGGGCUCGACACUAUCUUCCUUUUUGUUUAGCAUUUACAUAAGACUGCUGGGGAAAGCCAUAAUCAGUAUGCUGAUGACGCUCGUAAGGCUUGUCAAAUUUUCCAACUUUCAAUUUUCAACAAUUAGGGGUCCUCAAAAGUCUUGGAGAUUGUAAAGAUAUUUUGGUCAUUUUAAUAUAAUGUAGAUGUGGUUGGUAAAUAACUACAUAAACAUCAUAACUUUUCAGACCAUCAAUUCCCCAGCAAACAAUUCAGGCCAACAAUUCCCCAGUACCACCAAAAAAAGAACAUUAUUCUGUGUGCAGUGAGCCAGGUGGAAGAUAUCUUUAUCAUUUCACUCCAGAGAAAGGCUCAAAAACAGGAAAACCUGCUCGAGUGAUUGCAGAUAAUCUGGUGUAUUUCAUGAAGAAGAAAAACAUUGACAAAAGCUUGAAGGCUAUUGGAGGUGAUUCUACGAAGGUUCAUACUGGCUAUGAUGGUGGUGCCAUGCACUGGGUAGAGGUCAAGCCAGAGCAUCCACUUGCUGGAACAGAUUGACUGGUCUGAAGGUGUAUAUGAGCCACCUUUGACGUGCAAUAAAGUGGAAAUAAAGAAGUUCAUUGACGAACCAAUGCAAGUACCACACUGGCCCUGUCAUGCCCAAUCAAUAUAGAGAUGUGUAAAACAGGUCACAGAGGCAGCAAGCAGAGUGUAUACACAUGAGAAACGUGACAGUUAUAUCGGAGGCCAAGAGUCAGCAGCUGAUGUCAAAGAAUGAAUCAAAACAAGACUAGAUGAAACUUGCUUAAACAUUUUUGUAACUCAGAUAAUUGCUUUCUGAUGUUAGUUUAGGAUUGCAUGGAUUAUUUUUUGCUUAGCUAAAUAAGAUUCAUGCAGAAAAAAAACUUUAAUUUUUGUAGCACAAGGUGUAAUUCUGAGAAGAUAAAGUUAACAGUAUAUGAUCAGACAUGGAUUUACCAUACCAAGCUAAACGUUAUGCAACUGCAAAAAUAAUAGCAGAUUUGAAUUCUUGGUGUAAAAACACAUAUUUUUAUUACCCCUCACUGAAAACAUUGCAAAAAUUUAUUUUCACCCCAUUAAAUGACACACCCUAAUGCUCAGUUGUACAUCUUAUCCCCUUUCUGACUAAAUUAUGCUCUCAAGGUCUUGUCCCAAAGCCUGAAAAUUAUAAAAACCUGGGUAGAGAUGAACAGUCUUGGGGUCAACCCUAGCAACACAUAGUGGCUGGAGAUCAUCAGGUUUUGGCCCUUAACAAAGUGUACAUUUUGGAUCAAGAAGCAUUUCUGUCACUCAUGACUUGCUCAUCUUGGUUUUGGACAAUUGCAGUGCUUUAUAUAUGGUUCUAUCCUUAAAGAUCAUAUGGAAGCUAUAGUUGAUCCUGAAUGUGGCAGCACAAGCGGUGAUGGGAAAGACUCACAUAUAACAGGCUGUUAUUAGAACCUCACUUGUUAUCAGUUGGAUUCUGAAGACAAUUCAAGGUGCUAGGUUUUAUAAAGCCAUCCAUGGCACAGGAUCUCGCUCUUUGGGAAACUAUCCAUCUGCCAUAAUGUGUGCUGUGACAAAGUUGGCUUGCUUUCAGUGCCAACUGUUAAUUUGUACAGUCUCGUGUUCAUUGAAGCAGGGCCAUGAAGUUAUGAUGGCAGGUUUUUUUUAAAAAACCUAGUACUGGCCUUUAAAUGAAAUGUUGCUGCACAGAACCUAACAUUGGGUACUGUGGAACCUUCUACCCUUGGAGAAUCUCUAUGGAGCUGCUCUUUGCAGCUUAUAAGAGAUUUAGUUAUCCAAAUCAUGUUACAGUAUAUAUGUUUUUUCUGUUAUACUUUUAAAUGUGUUUGCUUGAGUUAAUAAUAAAACUUAAAAUCUCAUUAUUCACUCAAAUGCUCAUUGUCUAUGAAGCCAAAAGAACCAAUUGCCUGGGCAUCUGAUCAUUUUCCUAGUUUAAUCUUUUUUUUAUAACUUCAGAAACUUCCUGUAUUGUUAUAGCUCCAUUUAUAUUUUGUCUCUGUUCUGCUGUAAUCCUCAGUAAUUUUUGUUUCUUUAGAUAUUCAUCUAUUUUCUCUAGAGGAAUGUCACUUCCUUUAUACAAAAUAGAGUAAUAUUGAUGAAAUACAUUUUGUAUGGCUGCAUUGUCCAUUAAUACAGCAUUUCCCUCUUGUAAUUUCAAUAUCAUUUCUUUUCCCUUUAUUUUCAUAAUUUAUAUGCUAGCCACUUCCCUGAUAAAUUUGAAACUCUUUUUUUUUGCUUUACAUAAUUCAUUUUUAUUUCAUUUAUCUUACUGUUAACAUACUAUAGAUAAUUGCCAUUGCAGAAGUUUAAUUUGUUGAGAGAUACUUGUCAUCUCUGGAUAAUUCUUUAAUUCCAGGUCUUAUUUUCUCUUUAUUUCAUUCAAAACACUUCUUUUUAAAUCCAUUGUUGUAUUGUAUAAAGUGACCUCAAAUGAAAGAUUUACUUACAUCCCAAACCAUUCUUAAGUCAGAGCCUUUACCUAAACUAUUAAACUAUUUUCAAAAAUUCUUUUAGCUUUGUUUCCUUCACAAUCCUUCACUACUGUUGCUUUCCGUAGCAAGAGUUUGUUAGUCUUCAUCUAAAUGAAUUAGAUUUUCUUUUAUAAAUCAAAGUCAUAGGACUACGAGCUGAACAUAAUCUUUGUAAUAUCUCUACUUUAAAAUUUUAGCGGCCAAAUUAUUGAAGUCCAAAGUAUAUAUAUUCUUGAAAAGAUUAUGCCCUUCAGAAAGGUAAGCAGUUUAACAUUCUUAAAUUGACAUUUUUUGUCUUGAUGUAUGAACCAUCAAGGCAUUAAUGUAAUGGACAAUCUAAAUGGUCUAUCAGAUUAAAAAAACCCUGUUGAUCAUUUGCCUUGAUAAUAAUUGUCAGACCUGGAAGCCAUCUUUCUACUUUUGUGCCUUCAGGCUUCAGGCUUGCCACAAAUUUUACUGUGGGAAAUUGGGAGGGGGAGUUGCAUAGAGGGAAGAAGAUAUGUAGUCACAAUAAAAUUCCUUAUAGAAAGUCAAAGCCACGGUGCCCUGCAGCUGUGCUGAGAGGAAUGAGGAGAUAUCUUCUGUUCUGGACCGUACUUGAUUGGAUGUAUGGUGGACAUGUGGGAGAGGGACAAGAUCUUGAACUUUCUUUUGGGUGUGGAAAACCUGGAAGCUCUCAGAUUUGGGUUUUCCCAGAUGUGCCAAUAUGACAUAAAAGUUAGCUUUGAGGAACUUCAAGCCUUGGAGUUUGAUUUCGUUGGGCGUGUUACCUGGAACCCUGACAUUAAAAUUUUGUUCAGAGUUUCUAUUCAGUUGAGGGGAGAUCACAUCAUUCCAAUUCCCCAUCAAACCACCAAUUUUCAUAAGAAAAAAAUAUUAAUCUGUCCAUAACUUGUUUAAAAAACCCCGCUUUGUCCUCAUUUGGAGCAUAAAUUCCCAGUAUCAAAGUCUUAACCUCACACAAAUUAAUUUCCACACCAACAAAUCUACUGUACUCAUCAGUCAAUACUUCUGGUUUAAGUUGGGAAUUUAUGCACAAAAUUACACACACACACACACAUUUGUUUAUUUCCUUUUUUUUGCUACAGAAAAGAAUUCUUCACCAAAUUUUUAUCAAUCAAACAUUUUAUGUCCUUCUAAUAGUUACAUUUUCCAAUUAAAUAUAGUUUCCUUUGUCGUCCUCCUUCACCCAGACUUUCUGAUGCCUUGAAUUCCCUUUUAAAUAAACAUGAUGAAAAUCACAAAAAGAUUGAUUGCCAUAUAGUCUUGUGAAUCCUAAUGAGAUCCUUGACAGGCAACUACAGGCAGGGUUUGUCUGCCUUUCGUAAUUUACUGACUUGCCCUUGGUCAUCAUUGAAAUCUUGCCACUUGUUAUCAAGGCUGUCCUCAGAAAGACUUCCAUGGCUGACUUCUUAGCAUUAUUAUCACAGAUGCUAAGGAGUGCACUAUUUCCCUACUCCCGGUGUAAAAUAUUCCAUUUAAAUGGUUAAAUCUAACCAUGGUGCAAGAGUGAAGUACUUAGUUUGAUAGUUGGGCAAAUAAUGAAUGGCACUUUUCUUUCUUCUUUUCCUUCUUAGCCAUCCUCUUGCACAUAUUCUCUGAACAAAUUACAGAGCAGUUAUUCUCCACUGCUAGCCAACAACAGCUUUUCCAAAUAAUCAGUUGAAAUAAAUCUUAUUUUUACUUCCUGACCAGUGGUGGGAUUCAAAAUUUUUUACUAUCUGUUCUGUGGGCGUGGCUUGGUGGGCAUGGCAGGAUACUGUAAAAUCUCCAUUCCCACCCCACUUCAGGAGAAGGUUACUGCAAAAUCCCCAUUUCCUCCCAAUCAGAUGGGACUCGGGAGGCAGAGAAUAGAUGGGGGCGGGGCCAGUCAGAGGUGGUAUUUACCAGUUCUCUGAACUGGUCAGAACCUGAUGGAAUACCAUCUCUGUUCCUGACAUUUUCAAUACAAGUAUAUAUGUGAACUAGAGGUGGUUAGAACUAUGCUUCCAUUCUUACAAACUGCUUAAAGGCACACUUCACCAUCAUCAGUUAAAUAUGAGAAAUGGGGAAUUCAACAGUGAGCCUUCCUCUCCCACAUGCUUCCUUUCCUCCUUUUUCCCUUUCUCCUUUCCUUCCAUAGCUCAAAUAUUUUUUGGGAAAGAAGCCUAAUCCAUGUUGUGAAAUAACUUCAGAACUUCAGAAACACCUUGAUCAUGACUUUAUGGACCAUUUUUGGGAAGCAUAAACCCACAUCACUUCUCUAAAAGAAACAACUAUUCUACAAUGGUGCCUGCUUUUAGCAUGUCACCAUAGGCAGCAUAUUUUAAAGUUCAUGGGGCCUGAGAUGCCAGAUUUGCUUCUGUCCAAACAUCACAGCCACUGUAAACUCUACACAUUUCCCAGGCACUUCUCUUUGGAAUCCAGUUCAAAGUUUCAUUGUCUUUGAAACAAAGAAAAGCCCCUUAGUAAUGGGAUAACAUUUAACUAUCCCAGUCACGUAGAAAGAGCCAAGUGUAUGGACUCCUAGCAGAUUUCAAGGAAUACUUUCGGUGAUUAUCACUUUUGUGAGAAAGUCCGAUCUACCAUUUUUGCUAUAGCAAACUUUAGUUGCUAUAAUGCUACAAGUAGGCUGCAGUGUGAAUAAUGAUCCAACCCCCAGGUCUUACGAACACUGAUUGUUUUUUGAACUUUCCGCUAGUUUCCUUCUUCAGUCACCACCAUCAGCCCUUUGAUGGAAUACUUUGAUUAGGACUCUGUGCAGUCAAUUGUAAGAUCAUUUCAAAGUGGCAGAACCGCGCUCUUGCUCAUGAAAUACAUGUAGGAUGUAUGGCUCACAUAUCUCCCAAAGCAGUACAGUGGAUUGUUUGUUUUGGGCUUCGCAUGUUUAUCCAUCUACAGUAGUUUGUAAAUCAUUGUUUCCUGUGGUGCAUUCAUAUAUCACAUGAAACUAAAAAUAAGCAAACCAAGUUAGCGUGAUUUGUGAAGCAUCGGAGGGCAAUUUCAGACUUCCUUCGCUUCUUCUGUAACAAAGCUGCAUCAAGUAUGAUACCUGAUCCAUUGCUCCAUUUGUCUGAAAUUUAGCAUCGGCUUCACAUAAAAGUGGGUAGUUGAAAAUGAAGCGUAUUUCAGAAAAGAAGUUUAAACUAUGAGGCCUACUGAAAUAAUUCACUCAUUUAAACCUGUCAUCGCAAUGACAGAUAUUACAUAUGGCAUCUUGUAAAUAAUCUGAUUGACUUUUCUAAAUCAGCAUAAAUGGCUUUUCUAAUCUAUAUUGGUGAGCUUCUCCCUCUCAUACUCUGGUAUCUCCAAGAUUUCUUAAGAUACUGUUUAGAUUCUUUUGUAUUAUUUUGAUUCGAGCUAAAAUUUUGAUUCGAGCUAAACCAACUGACUGAGAUGGUGUAGGGUUUCCUGCCUGGGCAGGGGGUUGGACUAGAAGGCCUCCAAGGUCCCUUCCAACUCUGUUGUUAUGUUAUGUUAUGUUAUGUAAAAUAAUUGAUUGAAAGUAGGGAUUCAUAUGUUAUAUCAUCACACAACUCUGUCUCGUUGUUAAACUGUUCUUAGUAACAUGUUAGCAGAAACAGCACUAAGAUAUUGCUUCAUAAUGCUUUAGAGCACUCUAAGCAGUUUACAGAAUCAACAUAUUACCUCCAACAAUCUAGAUCAUCAUUUUACUGACCUUGAAAGCACGGAAGGCUGAAUCAACCUUGAUCCCAUCAGGAUCGAGCUCCUGGCAGAGGACAAAGUCAGGCUGCGAUACUGCAUUCUAACCAUUGUGCCAUGACUCUCUGGCUUAAAGCUUUGGAUAAACAAAUUUGGAACUUCCAAACUGAAUAUGACAUAAGUAUAGGGUAUUCUGCAGCACUAGAUUAUCAUCUUCUUCUGCAUGACGUAUAAAAAGUCAACAUUGCUUGAGUACAGCUGACUUUUCACUAAACAGAGCUGCAGUGUCCUGGGAUAUAAACGUAGGCCUUUUUGAUGUAGCUUUCUUGAGUACCUAACUUUGCAUGCAUCUCCAGGGAUAAUCAAUAUAAAGUGGUUUGCAAAAAAGCUAUUUUCCUGGCAUGAGAACAAUCUGCCCCUGAGCCUUUGGGUGUUGCUAAGUAUUAUUCUAUGUGCUCAUCUGCUGAACUGAUCUCGAAGGAUUGUGACAAAAUUUGGAAUAAACUGAUAAUUAUCAUUUAUUUAGGAAUAGCAAUAAGGCAACUCUUCUAAAAUAAAUGCUAAUAUAUAAUCUCUAAAAUAUAUAUAUGUGUACAUUAUAUAUUAUAUAUAUAUAAUGUGUACAUUAUAUAUUUAAUAAUAUAAACUUAAAAUUUGCAUUUGAAUAAUAAACUUGCUUAGCUUUAUGGUUUAAAGUAUUUGGAUGGAUACAAAGAUUUUACUAUCAGAAUAUAGAAUAACAGAGUUGGAAGGGACCUUUGAGGUCUUCUAAUCCAACCCCUGCUCAAGCAGGAGCCCAUUCCAGAUAAAUCUCUGUCCAAUCUCUUUUUAAAAACCUCCAGUAGUGGAGCACCCACAACUUCUGGAGGCAAGCCAUUCCGUGUUUAAUUUAAUUUAAUUAUUAAAUAAUAUGUUUACUUGUUGUGGCUUAAUUUACAUUUGUGGUUCUUUUUAGAGCCUUACUUAAUUUUCUAAUAUAGGUGUUCUCUGGCUCUGUGGAUCCAGAUCCUGAUUUUAUUUUAACAGCUUUUUCUUUAAAGAAAGUUUUAACAUUUGAACAUCUGAUAUAGUCUGAAGUCCAGAAAUGUUCACUGAGGAGUCAUACUGAGUUCAUUAGACUGGAUUCAAAGUAAGUUCAUUUAGGACUACAAAUCUAAUUUCAUAACUUCAGUUGUCUUGUUUCAUGUCAUGUGGAAAAUGAGGUAAAAGUAUUUAGAAAUAACAGAUUGUAGCCUCAAUUUUUUCCUUCCUGGACAAACAUUUCUAUCGGGUUGAUUUUUUUUUUUUGCAUAUUUGUCAACGAACAUUUUAUUUAUUCAUAUUGAACGAGCAGUGUAAAUUGCAGGUAUAUUUCUAUUCUUGAAUAUAAGGUGUAUGAAAAAGAAUAAGAGUUAGAUUACCACUACACUUCUAAUGCAACAGAGUACUGAGAUUCCUGUCCUGUUGAUUAGUCUCAUUGAUGCAUCUCAGUUUAAUAAAAAAAAAUGAAAUCAAUCUUCCUCAAAUUUUUCAUUGACAUGCAAUUGGGUUUUUUAAAUAUUUUAUUAGAGAUACUGGGGAGGCAUUAGUUUAGAAGGAAGAGAAGACUGAAAGCUUAAAACACAAAGGAGAAAAAGUUAAUUUAAAGUGAUGUUUGGUAAAAAUUCCCCUUUGAGAUCCUGUUGUGUAAUUGAACAGAUUAAGAUAACUGACAGUAACUUCACAGUGUGUCUAAGUGGAGGUCUCUAUGGGUCAGCUCUCGGAUCCUGUGCCGACACGUUAAACAAGUUUGUCAAUUUUCCAUCAGAUUGAUUUUUCUCACAGGUCUGGAAGGCUUGUUUCAUUUCAUCUUAUUUCCACCGGGGUUCUUAACAUUGCAAACUGGCAUUUACUUUUUCUCAAAGUGUGAAGAAUGAUUUUUAUCUUAGGGUAGCAAUCAAGGCACCGAGGUCCUCUGUUUCCUGCAUUGCCCAUUUUAUUCAUUGGAGGCUAUUUGCGGGGGUGGUGGUGGUCUGAAGUGUUCCCCCCUAAAGAGGAUUUAAAUUUGUGGAGUAGAUUAGUAAUACUUGUACUCCCAUUGUACUUUGGGAAACAAUUUAUAUUGUAAUUUUUAAGGUGGUGCUUUAUGAAACGAAAAGCUAGUGCUCUUUUCCCACUUCAAUCUUGUUGAAGAAUUGCAUGACAAACUACGGUGCCCCUAAAGGUCACAUAAAGCCAUAUUAAAUCUAUUUUCAUGUCAUGGUGAAAUGACCCCAGUCCUCCAAGAAUUGUCAAAGAAAAUUAUAUGCAUGGAUAAAUGGGGAAAAAAAGUACCUUUUAAUGAUCAAACAUUAUAGGCAUCAGAAGAGGUAUAUCAAUUGUGUGGCAGCUAGCAGAGCUUACCUGAAAGAUAUGUCUGUCAAGCACCUAACCCAAAUUCUUCUUAGCCUGGCAAUCAUAAAAAGAUGAGGGAUAACCGUAACAUUUAUAAAAGUGUAAGUUUUGGUGAACUACUUUGGAAAGGAUUGGUGACAAGUGAAUGACAUAAUAAAUAAUUGAUUAAACAUUUACAAUUAUAUUAGGUGCUGUGCAGAGAUUAGAAACCAAGUUAGCUUCUGCUUACAUGCAAAAUAUUGAAAAGAAUGUGAAUUAUAAAAAUGCAGAUUUUGGCCCACAUACAUUUUGAAAAAAACAACAUAUAUUUAUGGAUUUAUUUUAUUUUUAAAUGAUUUUUAAAUAGUUAAUGAAGUAGCUCUAUUUUUCCUGUUCCACAUUGCUUUCUGACCUGUUGCUUAGUUAGAACUGUGCAACUGAAAAAAAUAAACUAAAGCUUACAUUUAAAAACAAUGAAGAACUAAAAAAAUAAACAUAUUUCCCAUGUGUUUAUGUGUAAAAUCAGAUCAAUGUUACAUUUAUACAUAUUUUAUAUUAAUGCAAGCCUCCUUUGAAAUGUGUACUAAGGUAGAAAGGAAAAUUUGUUGCUGUAUAAAAGAUCUAAAAAGUACAAUGGUUAUGAACAUAACUUAAUUCUUACAAAUAGCAUAUUAUUAACAUAGAUGGUUGCAUCUACAUUCUUGCAUUUGAGCUUCUGAAGCCAGCAAACUCAUAAAAUAAUGCUUUUGAAGUAAAAAUUGCAUUAGCCAAAACAUAUAUUUUCAAGACCACAAAUUAGGUUAUUACUUAGUACAAGGAAAUGGAAAUUGGAAAUCAGUUAAAUGGUUGAGUGGAAAUUGAAUUUUAAUCUCUUAACAGGAUUUUUCCCAUUACAAUGUACUUCUUUCUCAGUAAUGACUAUUGUUUAUUCUGCUACAAUAUUUACUAGCAUUUGAAAAACUUAAAACCAUCUAUAAGGACAUAGCAUGGACUAUGUAAUGUAGUCUGAUUAAAAGAAGUGUUUCAGACACUUAUUGUUUUUCCUCUUUAUUUUGCUGAAUUCCUUACAACCUCAUGUUUGGAAUCAAAACUAUUUCCUAAACUUCUCUCCAGUCUUCAGCUUGGUCCAGUCAUGGGACUGGAUUCUGGUAGAGUGAUAGAUUUGGAUUUGAAAACUGAAGAAAGUAUUUCAGCACUAUGUGAAAAAUAAGAGCAUACUAAAACUUCACAUAUCAGCUGGCAUAUCCUGAAUAGUCAGCUGCCAGUGAAAAUUAUAAGAAGUCUUUAGCAUAAGAAUGAAUAAAAUGCUCUGAGUUCAAAACAAGUUGUUCUAGAGCCAUGAUGGCAAAUCUGUGGCACGUGGAGCCAUAUCUGUGGGCACACGAGCGUUGCCCUAGCUCAGCUCCAUCACACAUGCACGUGCCAGCCAGUUGAUUUUUAGGCCUUCCAGCCUCCAGAGGGCUUCAGGGGGGUGGGAGAGGCUGUUUUUGCCUUCCCCAGGCUCCAAGAAAGCUUCUGGAGCCUGGGAAGGGCGAAAAAUGGGCCUACUGGGCCCACCGGUAACCUUUUUGCCGUCACAUAC